GAAAUGCGAUAAGUAGUGUGAAUUGCAGAAUUCAGUGAAUCAUCGAAUCUUUGAACGCACAUUGCGCCCUUUGGUAUUCCUUAGGGCAUGCCUGUUCGAGCGUCAUUUAAACCUUCAAGCCCUGCUUGGUGUUGGGUGCCUGUCCCGCCCCCGCGCGUGGACUCACCUCAAAUCCAUUGGCGGCCCCCGCAUGGCCACGAGCGCAGCAGAAACGCAAACUCGUGUGCCGGACCAGGCGGCUCCCAGAAGCUACACUCACCAUUUUGACCUCGGAUCAGGUAGGGAUACCCGCUGAACUUAAGCA
RNAcentral lists this unclassified non-coding RNA (304 nucleotides) under plant metagenome. RNAcentral describes it as "partial contains 5.8S ribosomal RNA, internal transcribed spacer 2, and large subunit ribosomal RNA". The stretch from base 1 to 105 matches the Rfam family "5.8S ribosomal RNA", at positions 50 to 154 of the family's 154-position model. The record is from RNAcentral.